Molecule: ribosomal RNA, 1311 nt
Filed under: metagenome
Description: bacterial SSU rRNA
Rfam family: Bacterial small subunit ribosomal RNA
Source: RNAcentral
UACCGCAUAAGACCACAGCACCGCAUGGUGCAGGGGUAAAAACUCCGGUGGUAUGAGAUGGACCCGCGUCUGAUUAGGUAGUUGGUGGGGUAACGGCCUACCUAGCCGACGAUCAGUAGCCGACCUGAGAGGGUGACCGGCCACAUUGGGACUGAGACACGGCCCAAACUCCUGCGGGAGGCAGCAGUGGGGAAUAUUGCACAAUGGGGGAAACCCUGAUGCAGCGACGCCGCGUGAGCGAUGAAGUAUUUCGGUAUGUAAAGCUCUAUCAGCAGGGAAGAAAAUGACGGUACCUGACUAAGAAGCACCGGCUAAAUACGUGCCAGCAGCCGCGGUAAUACGUAUGGUGCAAGCGUUAUCCGGAUUUACUGGGUGUAAAGGGAGCGUAGACGGAGUGGCAAGUCUGAUGUGAAAACCCGGGGCUCAACCCCGGGACUGCAUUGGAAACUGUCAAUCUAGAGUACCGGAGAGGUAAGCGGAAUUCCUAGUGUAGCGGUGAAAUGCGUAGAUAUUAGGAGGAACACCAGUGGCGAAGGCGGCUUACUGGACGGUAACUGACGUUGAGGCUCGAAAGCGUGGGAGCAAACAGGAUUAGAUACCCUGGUAGUCCACGCCGUAAACGAUGACUACUAGGUGUCGGGCAGCAAAGCUGUUCGGUGCCGCAGCAAACGCAAUAAGUAGUCCACCUGGGGAGUACGUUCGCAAGAAUGAAACUCAAAGGAAUUGACGGGGACCCGCACAAGCGGUGGAGCAUGUGGUUUAAUUCGAAGCAACGCGAAGAACCUUACCUGCUCUUGACAUCUCCCUGACCGGCAAGUAAUGUUGCCUUUCCUUCGGGACAGGGAUGACAGGUGGUGCAUGGUUGUCGUCAGCUCGUGUCGUGAGAUGUUGGGUUAAGUCCCGCAACGAGCGCAACCCCUAUCUUUAGUAGCCAGCGGUUUGGCCGGGCACUCUAGAGAGACUGCCAGGGAUAACCUGGAGGAAGGUGGGGAUGACGUCAAAUCAUCAUGCCCCUUAUGAGCAGGGCUACACACGUGCUACAAUGGCGUAAACAAAGGGAGGCAGAACCGCGAGGUCGAGCAAAUCCCAAAAAUAACGUCUCAGUUCGGAUUGUAGUCUGCAACUCGACUACAUGAAGCUGGAAUCGCUAGUAAUCGCGAAUCAGAAUGUCGCGGUGAAUACGUUCCCGGGUCUUGUACACACCGCCCGUCACACCAUGGGAGUCAGUAACGCCCGAAGUCAGUGACCCAACCGCAAGGAGGGAGCUGCCGAAGGUGGGACCGAUAACUGGGGUGAAGUCGGAACAAGGUA